This 468-nucleotide ribosomal RNA is filed under the name uncultured bacterium. RNAcentral's name for it is "partial 16S ribosomal RNA". It matches the Rfam family "Bacterial small subunit ribosomal RNA", at positions 28 to 507 of the family's 1533-position model. The record is from RNAcentral.
GACGAACGCUGGCGGCGUGCUUAACACAUGCAAGUCGAACGGAAAGGCCCUGCUUUUGUGGGGUGCUCGAGUGGCGAACGGGUGAGUAACACGUGAGUAACCUGCCCUUGACUUUGGGAUAACUUCAGGAAACUGGGGCUAAUACCGGAUAGGAGCUCCUGCUGCAUGGUGGGGGUUGGAAAGUUUCGGCGGUUGGGGAUGGACUCGCGGCUUAUCAGCUUGUUGGUGGGGUAGUGGCUUACCAAGGCUUUGACGGGUAGCCGGCCUGAGAGGGUGACCGGCCACAUUGGGACUGAGAUACGGCCCAGACUCCUACGGGAGGCAGCAGUGGGGAAUAUUGCACAAUGGGCGGAAGCCUGAUGCAGCAACGCCGCGUGCGGGAUGACGGCCUUCGGGUUGUAAACCGCUUUCGCCUCUGACGAAGCGUGAGUGACGGUAAUGGGUAAAGAAGCACCGGCUAACUACGUG